GGCUCUGAUGAGCAAGCUGGUUUGAAUUUGUGUGAUAAAUCGAAUCCUUAAUGCAAAUAUCUUCUGUCAUUUUUUCCCAGAAAAUGAAGUACAAGUGCACCCUGUAGUUGCCUGGUUUGGAGACAGGAGGCUUCCUGCUAUGAGGCUGUGGCAUCACUGUAGAGAAUGCUCAUUCCUUGCUAAAGCCACCAAGCCUAAAAGAACUCUGGCAUGUUCUGAGAGGGGCACUAGUCCAGGCACCUUCAUCACCCAUUGCCAGAUUGCCUGCAACAUGUGCGGGAGCCACCUAGUCUGGAAGGUGAAUGAGCUGGUUUUGGGGAGAGACCCUCAGAGACGUAAGUGGCUCGUCCCCUGCAGCUCUUGCCUUUGGAUCCCUCUCAGCCUUCUGAGGUCCUGUGAGAGAAGGCUAAGAGAGGCUCUGAAGUAGAGCAAAACCAAGCAACUUUGCUUUUCCCUGAAAAGUGAAUGAAGCAGCUUGGAGGAGGUGUUUCAUUCAAAGGUUCAUCAAAGCAAAGUCUUCCUUUGAAGCUUUAUACAAUCCAAACAUGCAGGUGGGUAAAAAUACCUAAUAUCUACAUACAGUGCUUCUAAAUCUCAUUGGGUUCAGUGAGAGUGUUUUAAAUAUAUGUUUAACUUCCACCGAAAUACGUGAAACCUAAAUGUAAUUAAUUAAAUUGUGUCUUUCCGUUAUACAUUUUUAAAAGAAUCUUAAAAAAAGGGAUGUAAAUGAAUUCCUGAAAUGAAGCUCUGAGUAGUUUUGGAGUUUUGCCAUCCCAGGAAUCCAUGGUGAGAUGAAUGCUACCCAUAAGCUGAAUCCAUUUAUUGUUGUUGUUGUUGUUGUUUUACUUCCCUUAAAAGCAACAAUGUUGUCACAUGGACAUUCAAGAAAGCAUGGAGAAGUGAAGAAGUACCUCCAUGAAAGGCUGGGCACUUCUGUAAGAGUCCAGGCUUUUGGAAACUUCUACAGAUCUGGGAGACACCCUUCAUCUGCCUUGUACAUGGUUGAAAAAUAAAUACAUUGUCCAUCA
Molecule: long non-coding RNA, 1028 nt
Organism: Candoia aspera
Lineage: Eukaryota; Metazoa; Chordata; Lepidosauria; Squamata; Candoiidae
Exons: 2
Source: RefSeq, a predicted model, not a curated record